Pelobates cultripes (western spadefoot toad) is the source of this 229-nucleotide non-coding RNA. The record is from the annotation of a GenBank genome assembly. NCBI's taxonomy places the organism in Eukaryota, Metazoa, Chordata, Amphibia, Anura, Pelobatidae.
UGUAGGGACUGACAGAAGGGUGAGGCAUGGGAGGUGUGGGCGGACAGGAAGAUGAGCCUCGCCGCCGCAUUCAUUAUGGACUGUAACGGUGCUAGUUGGGAGCACGUAAGACCACUGAGAAGCGGAUUACAGUAGUCAAGGCGAGAAAGGACAGUGGAAUGGACCAACACCUUAGUUGCAUCUGGCGUUAAGUAGGGGCGGAUGCGCGCAAUGUUUUUGAGAUGGAAAU